Molecule: long non-coding RNA, 2550 nt
Filed under: Pelobates cultripes (western spadefoot toad)
Lineage: Eukaryota; Metazoa; Chordata; Amphibia; Anura; Pelobatidae
Source: RNAcentral
GCGAGGCUGGAUUGAGGCACUGUAUAGGCAACCCAAAGCCCAGAUACUAGUGAAUGGACUUCCCACAGAAGACUUCACGAUACAAAAUGGCACCAGGCAGGGAUGUCCCCUGUCGCCAAUCCUUUUCGUCCUAGCAUUAGAGCCAUUCCUACAAGCGAUCAGAACGAACCAGGACAUCACGGGGAUAAUUAAGGGCACCAUACACCACAAGGUUGCGGCUUACGCCGACGACCUUCUCUUCUUUGUCUCCAGACCUGAACUCUCACUCCCCAAUAUUAUUAAAGCCUUCCGUGACUACGGGGAAAUUUCAAAUAUGAAAAUCAACUUUGCCAAAUCAUACAUCCUUAACAUAUCCAUACCCCACCAACGGGAAACACCCCUCCGCCAGAGCUUCUCAUUCCAAUGGGCAGACUCUAAAAUUAGGUAUCUGGGCAUUUGGCUCACGCGAAACAACACGGACCUUUUUAAGGAAAACUUUGCCCAGAUGCUGACCACACUCAAGAGAGAUGCCGGGGAAUGGUCAUACCCCACAUCUCCUGGUUCGGCCGGGUCCAAGUUAUUAAAAUGAACUUCCUACCACGGCUACUAUACCUGAUGCAGACAAUACCCUUACGGAUCCCUAGGACAUACUUUACAACCCUACACAGGACCAUGAGAGAAUACGUAUGGAAAGGGAAGAAACCUAGGCUAAAAUUCUCACAACUCACACAACCAAGGGACAAGGGAGGCAUGGCACUGCCAGACUUCCACUUAUACUACAUAGCGUGCCAUCUCCUUAGAAUAGUAGAAUGGUCGAAACUUAACGUCCACAAACAAUGGAAGUCAGUAGAGGAGGCAGACCUGCAGAUUCCCAUAACACUAGCACCAUGGCUACCUAGAGGGAGGUGAGACAAGACACCCACAUACGUGAGGAAUACCCUGCAAGUGUGGCACAGUAUAGCAGACAGAGCUGGCCUGACCCCAUACCCAUCACCCCUACUUCCCUUGACACAUAAUGCAGAGUUCCCACCGGGACUCGACCCACUAGUCCUUAGGAGCAUUAUCCCAGACCAGCUACCUAGGCUCCACCACAUUUACACGACAUCAGGCCGGAAGUCCCUCUCAGACCUCACGGGAGAUCGGCCCCGACCUUCAUACAGACGUUCACAUACGCGCAACUGACAAGCUAUCUUCAGACCCUACCCCAGGGUGAGGCCCUACGGCGCACCCCCACGGAAUUCGAGCAACUAUGCCUCGACCCAGAACCACUCCCACACGGGAUAUCCAAACUAUACAGCCUACUACAAAUACAGAUCCCAGUGGAAACACCUAGGUUUAAGGGAAAGUGGGAAACGGCCCUGAACCGAAAAUUUAGCGAUGGGGAAUGGGACAAAAUCUGCACACUGACACACCACUGCGCGGUCUUCAGCAGACACCAGGAGACUGCAUAUAAAUUGCUCACGCACUGGUAUCGCACCCCGGACGUCCUACACAACAUACACCCAGACCACCCUGCACACUGCUGGCGAUGCGGGACAGGAACGGGGACACACAUACACAUCUGGUGGUCCUGCGAGAAGAUGCAACCCUUCUGGCGGGGGAUACACAAACUCAUACAGAAAUUCUCAGACCACCCUCCACCCUUUGAACCGGCAGCAAUGCUCCUACACCAUACUGCGGGGCCUAGCAAUAUCUACAAACGAUCUAUGACCAUAAGGAUACUAAAUAUUGCCAAACAACUCAUCCCCCUACACUGGAGGGACACUGAGCCCCCUACCCUUAGGGAAUGGUUCGCGAAAAUGGAGGACCUCAGGGUGACGGAAGACCUACACUUGACGGCUACAGAUAGGGCACAGCGAUACCUAGACAUUUGGACGCACUGGAUUCUGACAACAUCAGGAGAUAACUUCCUGGACACACUAGGGGAAGACUGACUGAACCUGAGACCCCAGACCACUGUAAGAACAGAUUACUAACACCUGCGAGACUCACAUAUGGAAGCCUUGCUUACCAACCGGACCCCGCCAGAGGGCCUCCGUGGGGAUAACCCCCCUUUUUUCUUUAUCCCCACCUACUUCACCCGUCACCGACGGACAUCAGACUGACUGUUAGGCGAAGCCACACUGGAACCUUCGCUCACCCUUACAUUGAACGCACCGAAAACUGACAAAAACACUGAAAUACACGGACAUACGUAGAGCCCCAUAGACAGGCACAACGGGACCUGCAGGCCCCAGAUGAUACAUGACACACUGACCACUAGAGACCCGAGGGUCUCCCACAACGGGCAAUUGGACGAAGUAGGGGCCAGAGAGCCCGCACAUAAGUCAUACUCUCAGCAGGACAUAUCAGCACUGUUAACAGCACUGUAUACGAUAUAAUUGGGCAAUAUAACCUUUACCCACAUAAUUGUACCUUGCACUCUGUACUGCCUUAGACAUACAUACUCUGGCAAAGUAUUUGCAUAUCUAUUGUUCAUUGGUGUACACUUACCUUGCGAAAUCAGCCUCUGCGCAGGCAACUUCAUGCUUUUACAUCGCAAUGUUUUGUGUUUAACAUUAUUAUGCCAUC